ACUGCUAAUACUCUAUACUCCUGUCUUACAUAAGUUAGAUAGGGAAAGUUUUUCGGUGUAGGAUGAGGCUAUAUUGUAUCAGCUAGUUGGUGAGGUAAUGGCUCACCAAGGCUAUGACGCAUAACUGGUCUGAGAGGAUGAUCAGUCACACUGGAACUGAGACACGGUCCAGACUCCUACGGGAGGCAGCAGUAGGGAAUAUUGCUCAAUGGGGGAAACCCUGAAGCAGCAACGCCGCGUGGAGGAUGACACUUUUCGGAGCGUAAACUCCUUUUGUUAGGGAAGAAUAAUGACGGUACCUAACGAAUAAGCACCGGCUAACUCCGUGCCAGCAGCCGCGGUAAUACGGAGGGUGCAAGCGUUACUCGGAAUCACUGGGCGUAAAGGACGCGUAGGCGGAUUAUCAAGUCUCUUGUGAAAUCCUAUGGCUUAACCAUAGAACUGCUUGGGAAACUGAUAAUCUAGAGUGAGGGAGAGGCAGAUGGAAUUGGUGGUGUAGGGGUAAAAUCCGUAGAGAUCACCAGGAAUACCCAUUGCGAAGGCGAUCUGCUGGAACUCAACUGACGCUAAUGCGUGAAAGCGUGGGGAGCAAACAGGAUUAGAUACCCUGGUAGUCCACGCCCUAAACGAUGUAUACUAGUUGUUGCUAAGCUAGUCUUGGCAGUAAUGCACCUAACGGAUUAAGUAUACCGCCUGGGGAGUACGGUCGCAAGAUUAAAACUCAAAGGAAUAGACGGGGACCCGCACAAGCGGUGGAGCAUGUGGUUUAAUUCGAAGAUACGCGAAGAACCUUACCCGGACUUGAUAUCUAACAAAUCAUCCAGAGAUGGAAGAGUGUCUGCUUGCAGAAAUGUUAAGACAGGUGCUGCACGGCUGUCGUCAGCUCGUGUCGUGAGAUGUUGGGUUAAGUCCCGCAACGAGCGCAACCCACGUCAUUAGUUGCUAACAGUUCGGCUGAGCACUCUAAUGAGACUGCCUUCGUAAGGAGGAGGAAGGUGUGGACGACGUCAAGUCAUCAUGGCCCUUAUGUCCGGGGCGACACACGUGCUACAAUGGCAUAUACAAUGA
This 1068-nucleotide ribosomal RNA is filed under the name Campylobacter concisus. Its description in RNAcentral is "bacterial SSU rRNA". It matches the Rfam family "Bacterial small subunit ribosomal RNA", at positions 159 to 1245 of the family's 1533-position model. The record is from RNAcentral. Lineage: Bacteria; Pseudomonadati; Campylobacterota; Epsilonproteobacteria; Campylobacterales; Campylobacteraceae.